This 76-nucleotide small RNA is filed under the name Xanthomonas vesicatoria. RNAcentral describes it as "sX9". It matches the Rfam family "Xanthomonas sRNA sX9". Lineage: Bacteria; Pseudomonadati; Pseudomonadota; Gammaproteobacteria; Lysobacterales; Lysobacteraceae. The record is from RNAcentral.
AUGUGCCACGCGUACGCUCCGGUUCCUCCAUGCCGCCCACACCCGCCUGGCAGCUGCUAUCUACGCUGUGUUGGCC